AUAGCUCCACUCUCCAAAUCCCUCUCUCUCUCCCACACAACGAUAUUCACAAAUUGAGAGAACCCAAAUUCACUAAAUCCCGCCGCCUCCACCUGUACACCGUGAAUCUUUGAUUUCCAGCCACCACUGCAUCGUGAAUCGCGAGAUUUACCGCUAAUUUCAGGAAUUCUGAUCGCCUACAACAACUAAACGGCAAAACCAGUCCACAAUUUUUGGUGAAAGUAAAUAAGGGGGUGAAGGCCGGAAUUGUUUGCGAAUGUCAUGGAUACUUAAACUUGAAGCAGAAGAAGGAUAUUAUAAAAAUGGCUUCGAUGCCCCACUCAACUUCAAAAUGAACUACAUACCUCGUCAGGAGAAGAAAAAGAAGGGACUGAUAGAUGUGGAGAAGAUGGUCGCGGACUACCACAAACCAUGACCAAUGAAUGAACUCUUGGUGUUUUGAACAUGAAUUCUGAUUUGGUUGAUAUUUUUUUUGGUAGCUACUUGUGCUGAAACAUAGUGGUUUUAUUUUGGCCAAGAAAAUAUUAGUGACGUAAUUUGAAUUGAUUUUUUUUUC
This is a long non-coding RNA of Salvia splendens (bonfire salvia), 556 nucleotides long. RefSeq lists it as uncharacterized. The record is from RefSeq and is a predicted model, not a curated record. Lineage: Eukaryota; Viridiplantae; Streptophyta; Magnoliopsida; Lamiales; Lamiaceae. The transcript is spliced from 2 exons.